UGGUGGAGUGGAUUACUGUUUGAUUUUGGGGUAGGCUGUCAACAGCGUGUACUGUGUGACACUAUCUGUUUUCUAAUGAUGUCAACAAUGCGUCUGGCAUAGAAUCAGGAACUAGAAUAGUAAUUUAAGAGGAUCUCUAUGGCGUAUAGACAUAUUUGAUGUCAUGAUUAUGAUGUCUUUAUGCCAUGGGUAAUGUCCAUAUUCACUUCAGUUCAUUGUGUCUGCGGAAGGUUCACAGACGGGUUUUCAACCGAGCUACAUUAUCAGAGACGCAAAGCGGGUGUCUUAACGGCUCACACAUCAUGGCUGACGACAACCAGAUACGGUUAAUUUAAGCCUACAUUUUUAAGUUUAAAAGAGAAAUCAAUAAGUCGAUUUUGAAUUUUCCUAAUUGCAUGUUGUUCAAACGGCAGUUCUUCCUUAAGGACAAAUGUGAUUGAUAUUAGGGCGGAAGUAUGAUUUGAAGUUUCAGCAAGUAAUUCCAACUGGGUAAUUGUUGUGGGAUGUCAGCAUGCAAUAAGCCUACUGCACGUGUAGAAUCAGUGCCAUGAAGGAUGGUGCAGGCCGGCAAGUUGCUACAGUAGCCUAGCAUGGAGUAGCAGAUGUGGAUCAGAUCUGGCUGACUUGUUCGCAGGCUAAAUUUCUCACCAGUCAUCCUCUGUAAUAAUUACCUCCCAGAGAGCAAUUACAAAGAACUAAUAAUGUUUUUAAAAGCACCAUUAUAACUAGCGACAUUACAGUCAGUCACCUCAGGCUGAGAAGGACUCGGUAGAACAGUGUUGGAUUUGUCCAUGUCUUGCUAAAUUAAUCUACCAUAACUGGGGAGACUUUAUACUGCAUUUUUAAAGCUGGAAUCCUUAAUGGUGAAACUACCACGUCCGAUAUUACAACAGCAGAGAAGUUACUGCAAACAACGAACACAGUUUUUUUCUGCUUUUCUGCUUCGUGCAUCAUUGCACGCAAGAUUAAACAUAAGUAUAUCCCACUGGACACGUACGUUAAUUCAACGUCUAUUUCACGUUGGUUCCAGAUAAUUCCCUUUAAAUGACUUGGAAACAACGUUGAUUCAACCAGUGUGUGACCAGUGGGAUGUAAGCCACCACUGCUUCGUCAACGAAAACAUUUCAGGGCCAUGCCGCUGUCUCAGGUGCUGCCCAGAUUCAAAACAUUUCAGGGCCAUGCCGCUGUCUCAGGUGCUGCCCAGAUUCGAAACAUUUCAGGGCCAUGCCGCUGUCCACUAACGCCUACAAACUCAGACAUUGACAGCUCAACAGUGCUGAAAUAGUUCGAGCCCCAGAGAACAUCAAUGAUUUUAAACUAGUUUAAGUGCAAGUGAUUAUAAUUUAUUGCACAUGUUAGUUUUGCUGAUUUGCAGCAUCAGAAUUAUCGCUAAUGGGUUGCAGCGAGUUACGUUUUUGAGCAUUUUUAAAAAUGUAUUUAUUUAUUUCACCUUUAUUUAACCAGGUAGGCAAGUUGAGAACAAGUUCUCAUUUACAACUGCGACCUGGCCAAGAUAAAGCAAAGCAGUUCGACACAUACAACAACACAGAGUUACACAUGGAGUAAAACAAACAUACAGUCAAUAAUACAGUUGAAGAAAAUAUAUAUACAGUGUGUGCAAAUGAGAGCAUGAAAUGGGAGUAUACCCCUGACUAUCAAAAGGAAGUUGGGGAGGAUAUGAAGGAUGAAACAGAGACUCAUGAGACCAAAUACAACAGGACAGGAAGCAAGGCUUAACGUAAGUCCAGUGGAGGUGGCAAGAAGAAUUCGGUGAAGGAGGACAGCAGCAUUUGUGCAGGGUCUUCUAAUGCACCCAGGUGUAGUUUCCAGGACAGGGAAUCUAACAUUGAGCAGCUGGAGAAGGAGCCUCAGAGGACUCUAAUGCCUUCUCUCAAUAUUGGGACAAGCUGUGCCCCAGUCCUCCUCCUUCCUGAGUAGUCUAACUAAUGAAACAAAAUGUCUCCUAUACUUAAUGGCUUAAUCAUUGGAUAGUGAUUCAGCAUGGCAUGAAGAAUAACCUGACGUUUGAGCAGCUCUCCAUGAUGUGUCUGAAGAUUGUUAAGGUCGUGACCCAGAUGGCCCUCCGCAUUCUGCUACCAGUGCUGGCUCGUAUCAUGGGGGUGAACCUGAGGAGUGGGACGACCUCCCCAGAAUCCCAGUGCUCUCUGACAGGGUCUAAGGACUCCUUGGACAGUCUGGAUGAGCGGGAGAAAAGGCUGCUGAUCAGUGAGAUGAACUACUGGACCAAGGAAAGGAGGAAUGGCAGGGCAGGGUGCCACGAAAAAUAUGUUGGCAGAACCAAACCACCAUGCUACUCCCCUAAGAGGGUCAUUGUUCCUUGUCCAGAUCUGGAAAAGGGUCCAAGGUCAAAGUGUGAGCUAGAGAUCAACCUCCCUGGUACUCCCAUCCCUGAUGAGGUGCCUGAUGAUUUGACCUUCCCCAUCGCCAGGAGCUCCUGCAUCGACAUCAGGGACUCUAUAAUGCAAGGGAUUUCUACGAGUGACCUAAGGACAAAGAUGAUGACACACACAGAUGAAGCCCUGCAUCGUAAUAGUCCAAGGACUGACAGUAACCGACAAUCGAGUGCCAAAGCCUCUCUUCGAUUCUUCACUCCCUCUUGCACCAGCAAGGGAACAUCCUUGGUAACAAAGGGAGUUGGGAUUGACAUGGAAGAGAAAGAGGGGUGCUACCCUAGCAGCUCUGGCCAUCUGAGGGAGUUAUUCAUCACUUCAGACAUCAGCAGUGCUACUGCAUUCCCUCUGCAGUCCUUGAUGGACUCCAGCAAAGAGGAUUUUAUCUGUUUGGUCACAAUACUGGUGAUAAGGUUGCUACCGAAGAUCGGUCCCUCAGCCCUAGAUGGACCUUCCCAACAGGCAGUAGACAUGACAGCAAUAUUUCAGCAGCUCAUCAGACAAGUUCUGUCUGAGUUCUGUGUUGCAUCUGGAUUCUCAAGGACACAGGCGCACCCUCAGGACCUGCACAUCCACACGGUGUUCAGAGGUGUACAUAAAAACCUCCUGGAUGCGUUUGGCUCUUAUAACGCCCUCCAAGCCACUCUGGCCUCCCAGGAUUCUGAAUUUGACAGAGUCCUGGUAAAAUCAUUGCCCAGCAGCUGGUGCAGGGAUCAAGGAGCCAUCAAGACCAGCAUCUACCGCCACAAACCCAGCAGACCAGGCUGAGACAGAGAGUGGGAAUGAGCAGAAAGCAAGAAGGAGCUUCCUUUGCUUCUCAAUGACCAAACUCAGGAUCAACAAUAAGCGUUCCAAGAGAGGAAACAAAAUGACUGCCAUUCAGUCCAGGACCAGACUGAGAUUCCCUCUACUGCAUAGCCCCCCACAUUGGGGAUCAUGGUGCUGAAUCUCCAGUUGGAGAGGUUUCUCGGUUCAUCUCUCAGCCUAUCAACAAGACCCUGAUUAUCGCUCCUUGAUAAUCAGGCUCUUUUCAGCAAUGAUGAAGCCGUUCGAGCGCUCCUCCUGAAAGAACCUGUUACUCUGUAUGAAGAAAUACUUUUGACAAGAGGGAUAUGCAUGUCUACCCUUUAAAGUCUGCUUGAUCAAAUAAAUGCAAACUAUUUUACAAGGGUUUUACAUGUUUUGGAUGAUUGCUAGCACUGAAGAAGCUUUUCUCACAUACUCUCUGGUCAGAUAGUGGAAGAGAACUGCGUUAGUUCCCCUGUGGUUACACAUCAUUUUG
This 3693-nucleotide long non-coding RNA is filed under the name Salmo salar (Atlantic salmon). RNAcentral describes it as "lncRNA (ENSSSAG00000080083.2)". Lineage: Eukaryota; Metazoa; Chordata; Actinopteri; Salmoniformes; Salmonidae. The record is from RNAcentral.